Molecule: small nucleolar RNA, 57 nt
Organism: Otolemur garnettii (small-eared galago)
Lineage: Eukaryota; Metazoa; Chordata; Mammalia; Primates; Galagidae
Gene: SNORD58
Rfam family: Small nucleolar RNA SNORD58
About the family: snoRNA U58 is found in introns 1, 3 and 6 of the ribosomal protein RPL17 gene in humans.
Source: Ensembl
CUGCCUUUCUUAGAACAUCUUUGGAUUUACCGUGAAGAUUAAUACACUCUGAGAAGC